AGCAAUCUGCCCUUCACUCUGGGAUAACCCCCGGAAACGGGAGCUAAUACCGGAUACGACCACUUCAGGCAUCUGAUGGUGGUGGAAAGUUCCGGCGGUGAAGGAUGAGCUCGCGGCCUAUCAGCUUGUUGGUGAGGUGAUGGCUCACCAAGGCUUCGACGGGUAGCCGGCCUGAGAGGGUGACCGGCCACACUGGGACUGAGACACGGCCCAGACUCCUACGGGAGGCAGCAGUGGGGAAUAUUGGACAAUGGGCGAAAGCCUGAUCCAGCAACGCCGCGUGAGGGAUGACGGCCUUCGGGUUGUAAACCUCUUUCAGCGGGGACGAAGCGAAAGUGACGGUACCCGCAGAAGAAGGACCGGCCAACUACGUGCCAGCAGCCGCGGUAAUACGUAGGGUCCGAGCGUUGUCCGGAAUUAUUGGGCGUAAAGGGCUCGUAGGCGGUCUGUCGCGUCGGGAGUGAAAACACGGGGCUUAACCCCGUGCCUGCUUCCGAUACGGGCAGACUAGAGGUAUGCAGGGGAGAACGGAAUUCCUGGUGUAGCGGUGAAAUGCGCAGAUAUCAGGAGGAACACCGGUGGCGAAGGCGGUUCUCUGGGCAUUACCUGACGCUGAGGAGCGAAAGUGUGGGGAGCGAAAGGGAUUAGAUACCCCCUGUA
RNAcentral lists this ribosomal RNA (660 nucleotides) under uncultured Marmoricola sp. RNAcentral describes it as "bacterial SSU rRNA". It matches the Rfam family "Bacterial small subunit ribosomal RNA", at positions 120 to 792 of the family's 1533-position model. The record is from RNAcentral. Lineage: Bacteria; Bacillati; Actinomycetota; Actinomycetes; Propionibacteriales; Nocardioidaceae.